UACGUGGGGAGCAAGCGUUGUUCGGAUUUACUGGGCGUAAAGGGCUCGUAGGCGGCCAACUAAGUCAGACGUGAAAUCCCCAGGCUCAACCUGGGAACUGCGUCUGAUACUGGAUGGCUUGAAUCCGGGAGAGGGAUGCAGAAUUCCAGGUGUAGCGGUGAAAUGCGUAGAUAUCUGGAGGAAUACCGGUGGCGAAGGCGGCAUCCUGGACCGGCAUUGACGCUGAGGAGCGAAAGCCAGGGGAGCAAACGGG
Molecule: ribosomal RNA, 253 nt
Filed under: uncultured bacterium
Lineage: Bacteria
Description: partial 16S ribosomal RNA
Rfam family: Bacterial small subunit ribosomal RNA
Source: RNAcentral